UUUCAAGAUUUCCGCAUUUUGCAACGUUUUCAUACGCGUUAAAAUGCCUGAACACGGAAAGCUUGCGGCGUCCGUAAGCCGGGGAAGCGCGUGCGUCAAAUUCGUUGCGUCUCGUUGUGUAUAAUCCUGAAGCGUGUCCACGGCAGGAAUUAAUCCAACAAGAUGAACAUCGGGCUCUGCCGCUAGCGAAAAAGCGGCGGCUGUGUGAGCCGUCAUAAACGGGCCGUCUUUGCCAGACCCUUGGAUCGUUCCUCGGAUUCUGAAGGCUGAAUUGAGCAGAGUGUCUGAGGGAACGCCCGACAUGGUUGCUCGAUUCAAUGCUGCUCGAAGCGCCUUUUGCGGCGAGACAGUCAAUGUUUGAGCGUGGGGACUGCAGUGAGAGGGUUGGAUGCGCAAAAACGGUCCAACAGCGCUCUCUAGUGGAGGGCACAGUCCCUGGCAAGCAGCGAGAAUAUCAGGAGCUGCUAUUAGGAGCCCGAGAACGAGAGGCAUUAGCCGUCGAGCUCAGGUCCAAUCUUUUCCGCUGUCGCUGGCGAGCGCCAUAGGCGAAGGCUCUUCUCGUGAGGCAGCCCGUUGGCGGUUUGAGGAGGUUGAACGAGACCGCGCGGGCGCCUGCCGCCGUUCAAUCUCCCUGGGCCUGCGUGGAAUCAGCUGGCGGAAAGCGGCUGAUUGCUGUUUCGCUGCCCUAAAUUUAUCCACCACCGACGUGACCGCCUCACCAAACAAACCGUCCUUAGAAACAGGGGCGUCCAUGAGAAAGGAUUUGUCCUUUUCUUUGAUAUCGGUGAGAUUAAGCCAGAGGUGGCGCUCAACCGUAAUCAACCCAGCCAUAGAACGGCCCACUGCCCGAGCAGUAUGUUUGGUAGCGCGUAGCGCCAAAUCUGUUGCUCGUCGCAGCUCUUUCACAGCCUCGGGUGUGAUACCCUCCCCCUCGUCGAGGUCCUUUAAGAGCUCCGCUUGGUAGGCCUGGAGGACCGCCAUAGAGUGGAGCGAUGCGGCCGCCUGGCCAGCAGCCAUGUAGGAUUUCCCGACGAGGCUAGACGUGACUCGACACGCCUUUGAAGGAAGAAGGGGGCGAGACUUCCAUGCCGUGGAUGAAUUAGGCGCGAGAUGUUCGGCGAGAGUCUCUUCCACCGGAGGCAUCGCUGCAUAGCCACGGUUCGCCAUAUCGGAAAUGGUGGCGAAAUCCGCAGCCGCAGCGUUCGUAAUGCGCGCCGAGUAAGGCUGUUUCCAGGACCUCGAAACCUCUUGGUGGAGGUCCGGGAAAAAAGGCAGGGGCCAACGGGGCUGUGCAGGAGUACGACUGGUUAAGAAACGGUCGUCCAGCUUCGAUGAAGGUUGGGCCUCGGCCUUCUCAACCUCCCAAUCCAGUCCCAGCUUACCCACCGCGCGAGAAACCACAUCCAACAGCUCGCUGUAGGAGGGGGAAACACGCUUCUCCUGUCCGCUAGUAGGGAGAGGGCUGUCAGUAUCGGCCAUGAAGUCCUCAGACUCCGAGGCCGCGGUGGAUAAGACAUCGUCGUCAUACUGCCCACAACUGAAGGAGAUAGCAUCGUAUGCCUCCGGG
Molecule: long non-coding RNA, 1567 nt
Organism: Cyprinus carpio (common carp)
Lineage: Eukaryota; Metazoa; Chordata; Actinopteri; Cypriniformes; Cyprinidae
Source: Ensembl